RNAcentral lists this ribosomal RNA (419 nucleotides) under uncultured bacterium. Its description in RNAcentral is "bacterial SSU rRNA". It matches the Rfam family "Bacterial small subunit ribosomal RNA", at positions 357 to 774 of the family's 1533-position model. The record is from RNAcentral.
AGGAAUAUUGGUCAAUGGACGCAAGUCUGAACCAGCCAUGCCGCGUGAAGGAUGAAGGUCCUCUGGAUUGUAAACUUCUUUUAUCUGGGACGAAAACGGGAUUUUUAUCUCAAUUGACGGUACCAGAGGAAUAAGCACCGGCUAACUCCGUGCCAGCAGCCGCGGUAAUACGGAGGGUGCGAGCGUUAUCCGGAUUUACUGGGUUUAAAGGGUGCGUAGGUGGGCUUAUAAGUCAGUGGUGAAAUCUCCGAGCUUAACUCGGAAACUGCCGUUGAUACUAUAGGUCUUGAAUUAUCUGGAGGUAAGCGGAAUAUGUCAUGUAGCGGUGAAAUGCUUAGAUAUGACAUAGAACACCAAUUGCGAAGGCAGCUUACUACAUAUAAAUUGACGCUGAGGCACGAAAGCGUGGGGAUCAAACA